AAAACGACUCUCGGCAACGGAUAUCUAGGCUCUUGCAUCGAUGAAGAACGUAGCGAAAUGCGAUACUUGGUGUGAAUUGCAGAAUCCCGUGAACCAUCGAGUCUUUGAACGCAAGUUGCGCCCGAAGCCAUUAGGUUGAGGGCACGUCUGCCUGGGCGUCACAU
RNAcentral lists this ribosomal RNA (164 nucleotides) under Hedysarum alpinum. Its description in RNAcentral is "5.8S ribosomal RNA". It matches the Rfam family "5.8S ribosomal RNA". Rfam says of the family: 5.8S ribosomal RNA (5.8S rRNA) is a component of the large subunit of the eukaryotic ribosome. It is transcribed by RNA polymerase I as part of the 45S precursor that also contains 18S and 28S rRNA. The record is from RNAcentral. RNAcentral also lists the same sequence under 20 other names. Lineage: Eukaryota; Viridiplantae; Streptophyta; Magnoliopsida; Fabales; Fabaceae.